ACUCUUGAAUCUGCUACUGCUUUUAGCCAAAUCACUUUUGAUUUUAUAAAACAAGUUGACUAAAGAAAACUGGAUUUAAUAGUGUGACAAAAUUAUUUAUUUACAAUUACUUCCAAUAUUAGUUUGCAAUCAUCAUGAUGGUUAAUUUUUGUGUCAACUUGAUUGGGCUAAAGGGUGCCCCAGAGAGCUGGUAAAAAUUAUUUCUGGAGGUAUCAGUAAGGGUGUUUCCUGAAAAGAUUAGCACUUGGAUCAGGAUCAGUAGACUAAAGAAGAUUGUCUCCACCCAUGCACUGUGGGCCCAAAUAGGACUCAAAGGGAGAGAAAGGGCAAAUUUUCUCUCUCUGCUUGAGCUGGGACAUCUAUUUCCUUCUGCCCUUGUACUUCAGUGCUCCCAGUUCUUACGCCCUUUGACUCAGACUCUGGGACUUACUCCAUUGGCUGUGCUGCUUUUCAAGCCUUUGUGUUUGCAAUGAAAUUACACCACCAGCUUUCCUGGGCUUCCAGCUCAAAAAAGGCAGACAGUGAGACUCUCAGCCUCCAUAAUCGUCAUACACUUACUGACUGCCAACUUCAUGAUUAUCUAUGUGCCAGGACUGGGACUUACACAGGCACUACAGAUAAGACUCUGCUCUCGUGGUGAUGCAACAUUGUGAGCCUUGUGCAGGGAGAAAGAAAAUGAACAAUAAACAGAUGAAAUGAUUUCAGUUAUUGAUAAACACUACGAAAAAAUUAAAUCGUGGCAGUGAGACGCAGAGUAACAGUGAUGGUUCAGGAAUAUAUAGUGGCCAGUGAGGGUGGAGGAUGGCAAAUAGUGAGAUGAGUCGUACAAGACAAGGAUGGAGAUGUAGGUAGGGGCCUGAUGGCCUGUGUUUUAAUAAAAAGAGGUAUUCUAAACAGAAAAUGAACGAUAAAUGAAGAAAUCUUGUAUCAUAGGAAGGAAGAAAGAAUAUAGCAAAAAUUGGCAAACACCACCCUGUUCAGUCAACAGCUGUCAACAACAUGAAGACAAGACCCUUGCCCAGGAAAAAAAUUACAACUGACUGAAAGCUAAGGUUCCAAGUUCUUCCCUGCAUCAUGCAACCUCUGAAAUCUGUUCAGCCCUCAGCCUACUGGUAGCUGUGAGGAUGGUCUCCGGGAAUCUCACUCUGUGAAUCUGCAGCUCAGGAGUUGGCCAAGAACCAGAGGAAAUUUUUGUGCAGUUUUUAUGGUUCUUUCCCUGUGGAUCCUCCCUCUCUAGAACUCCCCCCCAAAGUCCAGCUGUGCUGGCAGCCUCAAGUGGUGAUCUCAGUUCACUUCCAGAAAGAAGACUGCUCUCUGCUUGGACUCCUUUUCUCUGAUUGGAUUGGACUGUAAAACUACCUCAAGUAUGUUGUAUGCUAUCCGGAGUCAAGGAUCUCAGACUCAUCAUCUUUAUUUUAAAAGCAAGAUGUAAGUUUAAAACCCAAACAUUUUAAGUCAAAAAUUUGAGAGUAAGAAACAAUAUGAGGGACAUAAACAUUUGGAUUUUAGGCAAUGAGACUCCAGUAAUCACUUGGUGGUUUUAUCAGAAUUAAAAAAUGUAACAGACUGAAUUUGCCCAUUAUGAGUCUCGACCAUUUUAUCAUGGAUAGUAAAGAUUUUAAUACAAAAAUUUGGGAAAGGAUAUAGAAUUUAAGUCCUUAAACUCAUGAAUCCCAUGAUGAAAAACUCAUCAUUUUUCAUGCUGAGACUACUUUCCUGAAUGUUUUUUUAAGAUGACUGACACACAGACAGAACAGUUGAUGUGAUUUGAUUUCAGUCUGUUUCUCUCUGAUAUGCACCUGUGACUAAUACUCUGAGUAAUAGUCUUGGUUGUCUGAAAUUUAAAGUGUUUUGGGGGAUUUUAAGAAAUACUAGAAUGAUAC
This is a non-coding RNA of Sus scrofa (pig), 1883 nucleotides long. Lineage: Eukaryota; Metazoa; Chordata; Mammalia; Artiodactyla; Suidae. The record is from RefSeq and is a predicted model, not a curated record.